AGAGUUUGAUCAUGGCUCAGGAUGAACGCUAGCUACAGGCUUAACACAUGCAAGUCGAGGGGCAGCAUCAUCAAAGCUUGCUUUGAUGGAUGGCGACCGGCGCACGGGUGAGUAACACGUAUCCAACCUGCCGACAACACUGGGAUAGCCUUUCGAAAGAAAGAUUAAUACCGGAUGGUAUAGUUUUCCCGCAUGGGAUGAUUAUUAAAGAAUUUCGGUUGUCGAUGGGGAUGCGUUCCAUAGGCAGUUGGCGGGGUAACGCCACCAACCUACGAUGGAUAGGGGUUCUGGAGAGGAACGGUCCCCCAUAUUGGAACUGAGACACGGUCCAAACUCCGUACGGGAGGCA
Molecule: ribosomal RNA, 349 nt
Filed under: uncultured bacterium
Lineage: Bacteria
Description: bacterial SSU rRNA
Rfam family: Bacterial small subunit ribosomal RNA
Source: RNAcentral